GUCCACACCGUAACGUUGGGCGCUAGGUGUGGGCCUAUUCCAUGGGUUCCGUGCCGCAGCUAACGCAUUAAGCGCCCCGCCUGGGGAGUACGGCCGCAAGGCUAAACUCAAAGGAAUUGACGGGGCCCGCACAAGCGGCGGAGCAUGCGGAUUAAUUCGAUGCAACGCGAAGAACCUUACCUGGGUUUGACAUACGCCGGAAAGCCAUAGAGAUAUGGCCCCCUUUUAGUCGGUGUACAGGUGGUGCAUGGCUGUCGU
RNAcentral lists this ribosomal RNA (258 nucleotides) under uncultured bacterium. RNAcentral describes it as "partial 16S ribosomal RNA". It matches the Rfam family "Bacterial small subunit ribosomal RNA", at positions 793 to 1055 of the family's 1533-position model. The record is from RNAcentral.